AGAUGUUGGGUAUCCCCCAUGCCCCCGCCAAAAGCACUCCAGAUGACAAAAAUCCACUACAAAGCUCUUCUUUAAAAAGAAAGAUUCUGAGAAGUUCCAUCAAAAGAAGAAAAGAAGAAAUGAAGAGGGACCUACAUUUUGGAGCAAGAUGUAAAGAAAUCUGGAAGUGCAACUGCAGUUGCUGUCUAUCUCAAGUCAUUGUCUCCCAUCUUUGCUGCGGGAGGGCACUGAAGGGACAGUGUCUUGAUGUCAUAGUUAGAUCUUGGACUUUGAAGGCAAACUAGUGGGUUUGACUCUUGGCCACAUGGUUAAUCACCUGUGACCUUGGGCAAGUCACCAGAAUCCUCUCUGUGUCAGUUUCCUCAUCUGCAAAAUGGAAUAAUGCCUUAAACAAGGAGGACCUUGUUUCUAUCUAUGAAGCAUGGAGAACAGUGCCUGGAAGAUAGGAUGGUGCCUUGAGUGAAUGACCCCCUUGGAGAACAUUCUUCCGCAUCCCUCGCCUCAAGCCAGCCUCAGACAGAAAACUGAAGAUUCAGCAGAUCCAGUGCUUCCUGCUCCUCUUCUG
RNAcentral lists this long non-coding RNA (565 nucleotides) under Homo sapiens (human). Its description in RNAcentral is "non-protein coding lnc-TAPT1-2:4". The record is from RNAcentral. Lineage: Eukaryota; Metazoa; Chordata; Mammalia; Primates; Hominidae.